GGUCGAUACAUACAGGGUACUCUGAAUGUGAACAAACACAGGGCCCAGCAUGAAGCCUUCGUCCGCUUUGAGGGCUCCUCUAACAAGAGCUCAGAGCUGAACACUGAUGUGCUGCUGUGUGGGGGGA
Long non-coding RNA from Salvelinus namaycush (lake trout), 127 nucleotides. RefSeq lists it as uncharacterized. NCBI's taxonomy places the organism in Eukaryota, Metazoa, Chordata, Actinopteri, Salmoniformes, Salmonidae. The transcript is spliced from 3 exons. The record is from RefSeq and is a predicted model, not a curated record.